This 235-nucleotide ribosomal RNA is filed under the name Clostridioides difficile. RNAcentral's name for it is "partial 16S ribosomal RNA". It matches the Rfam family "Bacterial small subunit ribosomal RNA", at positions 246 to 498 of the family's 1533-position model. Lineage: Bacteria; Bacillati; Bacillota; Clostridia; Peptostreptococcales; Peptostreptococcaceae. The record is from RNAcentral.
UAGUUGGUAAGGUAACGGCUUACCAAGGCGACGAUCAGUAGCCGACCUGAGAGGGUGAUCGGCCACAUGGGAACUGAGACACGGUCCAAACUCCUACGGGAGGCAGCCGUGGGGAAUAUUGCACAAUGGGCGAAAGCCUGAUGCAGCAACGCCGCGUGAGGGAUGAAGGCCUUCGGGUCGUAAAACUCUGUCCUCAAGGAAGAUAAUGACGGUACUUGAGGAGGAAGCCCCGGCU